ACGUAGGGAGCAAGCGUUGUCCGGAUUUACUGGGCGUAAAGGGCGCGUAGGCGGCCUGUUAAGUAUGAAGUGAAAUCUCCGGGCUUAACCCGGAAACUGCUUUGUAAACUGGCAGGCUAGAGGAAGGUAGAGGUGAAUGGAAUUCCCGGUGUAGCGGUGACAUGCAUUGAUAUCGGGAGGAACACCCAUGGCGAAGGCAGUUCACUGGACCUUACCUGACGCUGAGGCGCGAAAGCGUGGGGAGCAAACAGG
This 252-nucleotide ribosomal RNA is filed under the name uncultured bacterium. RNAcentral describes it as "partial 16S ribosomal RNA". It matches the Rfam family "Bacterial small subunit ribosomal RNA", at positions 525 to 776 of the family's 1533-position model. The record is from RNAcentral.